CCAUGCCGAAUCCCGCAGAGUGAAUCUGUUGGGAGAUGUAGCGUAUGGGUACUCUUGCCGCCCAGCAGGACUGUUCGUAAGUCCACAUGAUUGUGGUCCCAUUGAGGGUGUAAGGCCUGUAAUGGUCAGUCUUGCUGAGUCAUGAGAGUAUCCUUGAGUCGGGUUGCUUGAGAUUGCAGCCCUAAUUAGGUGGUAAACUCCAUCUAAGGCUAAAUAUAACACUAGUCCGAUAGCAAACAAGUACCGUGAGGGAAAGUUGAAAAGAACUUUGAAGAGAGAGUUCAAUAGUACGUGAAAUUGCUCAGAGGUAAACGAUUAGAGCCGAAAGUGGUGUGGUGGUUCAUGUGUGCGUGGCUGGGAUGUUGUGAUUGGCAAGCCCUUUACGGCUGACGGUUACAAUUUUUUCCUGUCAUGUGUGCUAUCGAUCCCCAUGCCUUAACCACGAACAAUGCUUUGAGGCACUGUCAUCGUGAGGAAGGUAGCGCUUGCCUUUUCGUGAGUGUGAUAGCCUCGUGAUAUGGUCGUCUUGAAGUAUUGGGAUAAGCGAUGCAAGCCGUUUAGGCGCACAUGAAAGCCUCACAUUGUGGGCAGGAGUCAGACUCGUUUCAGAGAUUGGCUUUUUGUCUUGCAGUGUGGGUGAGUUUUCCUCUGUGUAUUGUGUCUAUAUUCUGUGGUUGCUACAGUAGGUAGUCUAAUCGACCCGUCUUGAAACACGGACCAAGGAGUUUAGCUUAUGCGCAAGUCAAUGAGUCUUACGAAACUCAAAGGCGAAGUGAAAGUAAAGGUUCUCUUUUGAGGGCUGAGGUGAGAUCUGUAAAGCAGCGCUUAACAUGCUGUGGAGCAGCGCAUCACCGGCUCGUCCUAUUAUUUUUAAUCGGGGCGAAGCAAGAGCGCAUAGGCUGAGACCCGAAAGAUGGUGAUCUAUGCUUGUGUAGGAUGAAGCCAGGGGAAACUCUGGUGGAAGUCCGUAGCGAUUCUGACGUGCAAAUCGAUCGUCAAACAUGAGUAUAGGGGCGAAAGACUAAUCGAACCAUCUAGUAGCUGGUACCCACUGAAGUUUCCCUCAGGAUAGCUGGCCCCUUUUGUAACUGAUUUAUCUGGUAAAGCAAAUGAUUAGAGGUACUGGGGAAGUAAUUUUCUCAACCUAUUCUCAAACUUUAAAUGGGUAAGAUGUCAAACUCGCUUAACUGUAGUUUGACAUUGAUAGUUGGGGCCAAGUGGGCCAUUUUUGGUAAGCAGAACUGGCGCUGUGGGAUGAACCAAACGUGGAGGUAAGGUGCAGAACGAGGCGGUUAUCAGACACCACAAAAGGUGUUGGUUGAUAU
Molecule: ribosomal RNA, 1325 nt
Filed under: Pogaina paranygulgus
Lineage: Eukaryota; Metazoa; Platyhelminthes; Rhabdocoela; Provorticidae
Description: LSU rRNA
Rfam family: Eukaryotic large subunit ribosomal RNA
Source: RNAcentral